This 329-nucleotide long non-coding RNA is filed under the name Salvia miltiorrhiza (redroot sage). RNAcentral's name for it is "long non-coding RNA (SMIL_LNC013983)". The record is from RNAcentral. Lineage: Eukaryota; Viridiplantae; Streptophyta; Magnoliopsida; Lamiales; Lamiaceae.
GAAUCAUCAGAAGGCGGAGCCGAGGAUAUUCACGAAUCAGUGCAGAAUAAUGUGGUCACCUCUCCUUCCCCUCCACAUGGUGAGGUAGAAAUGCAUGAAAUAGGCCUCAGUGAUGAAAUUCCUGCUGCUCAAAAUUCAGGAGCAAGAACUGACUAAUUCAUAUAUAGGAAAUGUAUAAAAGCUAUAGUAACUUAAGAGAAACAGUGGGAAAUGAAAAUGUAAUUAUAUGUUUGUAAAUUGUAACUGUCAAUUGCCUUAAGUGGUUUUCACCUUUACAUAAUUCCUUGUUAUUCUUGUUGGUUUCUCAGAUUUUGAAUGUCAACUUUUUU